This 1495-nucleotide ribosomal RNA is filed under the name metagenome. Its description in RNAcentral is "bacterial SSU rRNA". It matches the Rfam family "Bacterial small subunit ribosomal RNA". The record is from RNAcentral.
AGAGUUUGAUCCUGGCUCAGAUUGAACGCUGGCGGCGUGCUUAACACAUGCAAGUCGAGCGGUAACAGGUGUAGCAAUACAUGCUGACAAGCGGCGAACGGGUGAGUAAUGCUUCGGAAUCUGCCCAGUAGUGGGGAAUAACCUGGGGAAACUCAGGCUAAUACCGCAUACGAACUAAGGUUGAAAGCAGGGGAUCGCAAGACCUUGCGCUAUUGGAUGAGCCGAAGUCGGAUUAGCUAGUUGGUGAGGUAAAGGCUCACCAAGGCGACGAUCCGUAGCUGGUCUGAGAGGACGACCAGCCACACUGGGACUGAGACACGGCCCAGACUCCUACGGGAGGCAGCAGUGGGGAAUAUUGGACAAUGGGGGCAACCCUGAUCCAGCGACGCCGCGUGUGUGAAGAAGGCCUGCGGGUUGUAAAGCACUUUUAGUGGGGACAAAAAGCCAAGGAUUAAUACCCUUUGGUCUUGAUUUAACCCAAAGAAAAAGCACCGGCUAACUCUGUGCCAGCAGCCGCGGUAAUACAGAGGGUGCGAGCGUUAAUCGGAAUUACUGGGCGUAAAGCGUGCGUAGUCGGUUGUUUAAGUCUGCCGUGAAAGUCCGCAGCUUAACUGCGGGUCUGCGGUGGAUACGGGUCGGCUAGAGGUAGGUAGGGGCAAGUGGAAUUCCUGGUGUAGCGGUGAAAUGCGUAGAUAUCGGAAGGAACAUCAGUGGCGAAAGCGGCUUCCUGGACCAGAACUGACGAUCAGGCACGAAAGCGUGGGGAGCAAACAGGAUUAGAUACCCUGGUAGUCCACGCCAUAAACGAUGACAACUAGACGUUGGGAGGGUAAGCCUCACAGUGUCGCAGCUAACGCGUUAAGUUGUCCGCCUGGGGAGUACGACCGCAAGGUUGAAACUCAAAGGAAUUGGCGGGGACCCGCACAAGCGGUGGAGCAUGUGGUUUAAUUCGAUCAACGCGAAGAACCUUACCUGGUCUUGACAUGUCUGGAAGUCUGCAGAGAUGCGGAUGUGCCUUCGGGAACCAGAACACAGGUGCUGCAUGGCUGUCGUCAGCUCGUGUCGUGAGAUGUUGGGUUAAGUCCCGCAACGAGCGCAACCCUUGUCCUUAGUUGCCAUCAUUAAGUUGGGAACUCUAAGGAGACCGCCGGUGACAAACCGGAGGAAGGUGGGGAUGACGUCAAGUCAUCAUGGCCUUUAUGACCAGGGCUACACACGUGCUACAAUGGCAGGUACAGAGGGAAGCCAACCGGCGACGGGGAGCUAAUCCCAGAAAGCCUGUCUUAGUCCGGAUUGGAGUCUGCAACUCGACUCCAUGAAGUUGGAAUCGCUAGUAAUCGCAGAUCAGCAUUGCUGCGGUGAAUACGUUCCCGGGUCUUGUACACACCGCCCGUCACACCAUGGGAGUUGAUUGCACCAGAAGCAGGUAGCCUGACCGUAAGGAGGGCGCUUACCACGGUGUGGUCAAUGACUGGGGUGAAGUCGAAACAAGGUA